CUGCUAGACUGAGCUCCUUGAGGCAGG
RNAcentral lists this non-coding RNA (27 nucleotides) under Rattus norvegicus (Norway rat). Lineage: Eukaryota; Metazoa; Chordata; Mammalia; Rodentia; Muridae. The record is from RNAcentral.